This 30-nucleotide non-coding RNA is filed under the name Mus musculus (house mouse). Lineage: Eukaryota; Metazoa; Chordata; Mammalia; Rodentia; Muridae. The record is from RNAcentral.
UGGUCACUCUCGGUUCCUCCAUAUGACUGU